GACGAACGCUGGCGGCGUGCUUAACACAUGCAAGUCGAACGGUGAAGCGCUUGCCUUUUUGGUGGGUGUGGAUGAGUGGCGAACGGGUGAGUAACACGUGAGUAACCUGCCCUCUUCUUCUGGAUAACCUCAUGAAAGUGGGGCUAAUACGGGGUAUUCCGGGUCUGUCGCAUGGCGGGUUUGGGAAAGAUUGCGCCUUUGGGUGUUUUCGGUGGGGGAUGGGCUCGCGGCCUAUCAGCUUGUUGGUGGGGUGAUGGCCUACCAAGGCGGUGACGGGUAGCCGGCCUGAGAGGGUGGGCGGCCACACUGGGACGGAGACACGGCCCGGACUCCUGCGGGAGGCAGCAGUGGGGAAUAUUGCACAAUGGGCGCAAGCCUGAUGCAGCGACGCCGCGUGAGGGAUGGAGGCCUUCGGGUUGUGAACCUCUUUCGCCAGUGAAGCAGGCCUGCCUCGUUUGUGGGUGGGUUGACGGUAGCUGGAUAAGAAGCGCCGGCUAACUACGUG
This 505-nucleotide ribosomal RNA is filed under the name uncultured bacterium. Its description in RNAcentral is "partial 16S ribosomal RNA". It matches the Rfam family "Bacterial small subunit ribosomal RNA", at positions 28 to 507 of the family's 1533-position model. The record is from RNAcentral.